AACGAACGCUGGCGGCAUGCCUAACACAUGCCAGUCGAACGAGACCUUCGGGUCUAGUGGCGCACGGGUGCGUAACGCGUGGGAACCUGCCCUUAGGUUCGGAAUAACUCCCCGAAAGGGGUGCUAAUGCCGGAUAAUGUCUUCGGACCAAAGAUUUAUCGCCUUUGGAUGGGCCCGCGUUGGAUUAGCUAGUUGGUAGGGUAAAAGCCUACCAAGGCGACGAUCCAUAGCUGGUCUGAGAGGAUGAUCAGCCACACUGGGACUGAGACACGGCCCAGACUCCUACGGGAGGCAGCAGUGGGGAAUAUUGGACAAUGGGCGAAAGCCUGAUCCAGCAAUGCCGCGUGAGUGAUGAAGGCCUUAGGGUUGUAAAGCUCUUUUACCCGGGAUGAUAAUGACAGUACCGGGAGAAUAAGCGCCGGCUAACUCCGUG
RNAcentral lists this ribosomal RNA (433 nucleotides) under uncultured bacterium. Its description in RNAcentral is "partial 16S ribosomal RNA". It matches the Rfam family "Bacterial small subunit ribosomal RNA", at positions 29 to 507 of the family's 1533-position model. The record is from RNAcentral.